This 402-nucleotide ribosomal RNA is filed under the name uncultured bacterium. Its description in RNAcentral is "bacterial SSU rRNA". It matches the Rfam family "Bacterial small subunit ribosomal RNA", at positions 355 to 774 of the family's 1533-position model. The record is from RNAcentral.
UGGGGAAUCUUGGACAAUGGGGGCAACCCUGAUCCAGCGAUGCCGCGUGAGCGAAGAAGGCCUUAGGGUUGUAAAGCUCUUUCGCCCGCGACGAUGAUGACGGUAGCGGGAGAAGAAGCCCCGGCUAACUCCGUGCCAGCAGCCGCGGUAAUACGGAGGGGGCUAGCGUUGUCCGGAAUUACUGGGCGUAAAGCGCGCGUAGGCGGUCCACCAAGUCGGGGGUGAAAGCCCGGGGCUCAACCCCGGAAUGUCCUCCGAGACUGUUGGACUGGAGUUCGGGAGAGGAGAGCGGAAUUCCCAGUGUAGAGGUGAAAUUCGUAGAUAUUGGGAAGAACACCGGUGUCGAAGGCGGCUCUCUGGCCCGCAACUGACGCUGAGGCGCGAAAGCGUGGGGAGCAAACA